This 489-nucleotide ribosomal RNA is filed under the name uncultured bacterium. RNAcentral's name for it is "bacterial SSU rRNA". It matches the Rfam family "Bacterial small subunit ribosomal RNA", at positions 28 to 489 of the family's 1533-position model. The record is from RNAcentral.
GACGAACGCUGGCGGCGUGCUUAACACAUGCAAGUCGAGCGAGGCCCAAGCAGUGGCAACACUGUGGAAGGCCUAGCGGCGAACGGGUGAGUAACACGUGAGCAACCUGCCCCGAAGUCUGGAAUAACACCGGGAAACCGGUGCUAAUGCCGGAUGCCCCCACGGGCCGCAUGACCUGGUGAGGAAAGGCCAUGCCUGAUAAGUAUGGGUGCUUCGGGAGGGGCUCGCGGGCUAUCAGCUAGUUGGUGAGGUAACGGCUCACCAAGGCGUCGACGGCUAGCUGGUCUGAGAGGACGACCAGCCACACUGGGACUGAGACACGGCCCAGACUCCUACGGGAGGCAGCAGUGGGGAAUAUUGGACAAUGGGCGCAAGCCUGAUCCAGCGAUGCCGCGUGUGUGAAGAAGGCCUGCGGGUUGUAAAGCACUUUUAGUAGGGAAGAAAGCCGAGUGCUAAUAUCACUCGGUCUUGACGUUACUUACAGAAGAA